Long non-coding RNA from Pollicipes pollicipes, 377 nucleotides. RefSeq lists it as uncharacterized. The record is from RefSeq and is a predicted model, not a curated record. Lineage: Eukaryota; Metazoa; Arthropoda; Thecostraca; Pollicipedomorpha; Pollicipedidae. The transcript is spliced from 3 exons.
CAGGCACUGACCUUGAAUCUCGCGUCAGCCAAUAGGAGCUCAGACAUGGCGGGACCCAAAAAGAAAUGCCCUAAGCCACUGCGAAUCUCGACCAGGAAAACCCCCGAAAGAACGUCUCCAUCAGCCCUCUGUCGAUGACUGCUCGUGGCGGCGGGGCCGGCUCGGGGCCCCGGUUCGGUGCCUCGCCGUGCCGCAGCGACUCAUCCGGCUUCCAGAGCCUUCCCAGCCCCGCCAGCGCCAGCCCCGACGGCAGCCGCUGCAGCGACGGUGAGCGACUCUUCACCAACCGCAGCAACAUGCAGAUCAAGAGCAGUGAGAGCGCCGAGUCCGUGAGCACGCGCGCCAGCACCUGCAGCCGCGGGGUGCGCCAGGCGGGU